RNAcentral lists this long non-coding RNA (253 nucleotides) under Rattus norvegicus (Norway rat). RNAcentral's name for it is "long non-coding RNA NONRATT017643". The record is from RNAcentral. Lineage: Eukaryota; Metazoa; Chordata; Mammalia; Rodentia; Muridae.
UCAGCCAGUCAGCAUUCAGAGAGUGAGAGACCCCUGACAUAGAUGUGGCCAUCACAUCCCUCCCCUCAGGGCCCAGGGAAAAGGAGCCCACAGAUGCAGGAUGACAUCAUCAUCAGUGAGCCCAAGGAAGCAAAGGAAAUCAUUUGCGAGCUGACCAUUUGAGCCGCUCCUUGUCAGCUCGGUCAGCCUGAAGAUCCAGGACAGUUGACACUCAAAGGAGCCCCAAAUUUAAAUACAAUGUCCUCCAAAUGUC